Molecule: ribosomal RNA, 253 nt
Filed under: uncultured bacterium
Lineage: Bacteria
Description: partial 16S ribosomal RNA
Rfam family: Bacterial small subunit ribosomal RNA
Source: RNAcentral
UACAGAGGGUGCGAGCGUUGUUCGGAAUUAUUGGGCGUAAAGGGCGCGUAGGCGGUGCGGUAAGUCACCUGUGAAAUCUCCUGGCUCAACUGGGAGCUUGCAGGCGAAACUGCCGUGCUGGAGUGUGGGAGAGGUGAGUGGAAUUCCCGGUGUAGCGGUGAAAUGCGCAGAUAUCAGGAGGAACACCGGUGGCGAAGGCGGGUCUCUGGGCCGAUACUGACGCUGAGGAGCGAAAGCGUGGGGAGCGAACAGG